Molecule: ribosomal RNA, 275 nt
Filed under: uncultured bacterium
Lineage: Bacteria
Description: partial 16S ribosomal RNA
Rfam family: Bacterial small subunit ribosomal RNA
Source: RNAcentral
AUGCAAGUCGAACGGUGUCCGCAAGGGCAUAGUGGCAAACGGGUGAGUAACACAUAAGUAACCUGUCCUCGAGUGGGGAAUAACCCGCCGAAAGGCGGACUAAUACCGCAUACGAUAGCUUCCCGAAAGGGAGGUUAUGAAAGCCGCAAGGCGCUGGAGGAGGGGCUUGUGCCCGAUUAGCUAGUUGGUGGGGUAACGGCUUACCAAGGCUAUGAUCGGUAGCUGGUCUGAGAGGAUGGUCAGCCACACUGGGACUGAGACACGGCCCAGACUCC